CCGGCGACCGGCGCACGGGUGAGUAACACGUAUGCAACCUGCCCUCUUCAGGGGGACAACCUUCCGAAAGGGAGGCUAAUCCCGCGUAUAUCGGUUUCGGGCAUCCGAGAUCGAGGAAAGAUUCAUCGGAAGAGGAUGGGCAUGCGGCGCAUUAGCUAGACGGCGGGGUAACGGCCCACCGUGGCGACGAUGCGUAGGGGUUCUGAGAGGAAGGCCGCCCACACUGGGACUGAGACACGGCCCAGACUCCUACGGAAGGCAGCAG
Molecule: ribosomal RNA, 265 nt
Filed under: uncultured bacterium
Lineage: Bacteria
Description: partial 16S ribosomal RNA
Rfam family: Bacterial small subunit ribosomal RNA
Source: RNAcentral